Helianthus annuus (common sunflower) is the source of this 625-nucleotide long non-coding RNA. RefSeq lists it as uncharacterized. Lineage: Eukaryota; Viridiplantae; Streptophyta; Magnoliopsida; Asterales; Asteraceae. The transcript is spliced from 3 exons. The record is from RefSeq and is a predicted model, not a curated record.
UUAUUAUAACUAUAACCAUUAUUUUGUUUUGGUAUCUUGCCUGGGCCACUUGUGCUCCAUCUUAAUUAGUGAGAUUACUAACUCUACAUUUAUGACUCCUUUACCAGGUGAUGCGCGUGUGCCCGAUAACUACGCAGAUGAGCAUUCUCAAGAGCAAGUACAAGUCCUUAUUAAUACACAAGAAAAUGAACCCCAUUAUUCUAUUUUCCCUAUUUAAAUUUGAUUGCACCUGAGAAAAGGUCUUUCAUUCAUAAGCUAUCCUUUAAUAUGCUACAAAAGAAAAGAUGAAAUAGCUAAACAAUUCCAGUGCGGAUCCAAACAGAACGCUAACAUGACAAGGUGAAGCCUACCCACGUGUUCAAUGCUGCCAGAGUCACCGGUCGUCUGAACGUUGACUGAUGUGUGCCGCACAAGGUGGGUCUCUCUCUGUGUGUGAAGGGAUGCUGAAUUUAUAAGACUAUCAAAAACGCAAACAUGGAUGGUAACAGUGAAUACAUCAUCCUGGAGUAGAAACCAAUCCUUAAAGGGGGUAAUAGUUACUCAAUUUGUUUGUUUUUUUAAACUGAUUGAGUGGUUCAUUAGUGCUUAAAAUUAACAUACAUUACACACCUGUUUUGUUCUUCAA